CAGUCGCCACGGUAAUACGUAGGGUGCAAGCGUUAAUCGGAAUUACUGGGCGUAAAGCGUGCGCAGGCGGUUAUAUAAGACAGAUGUGAAAUCCCCGGGCUCAACCUGGGAACUGCAUUUGUGACUGUAUAGCUAGAGUACGGCAGAGGGGGAUGGAAUUCCGCGUGUAGCAGUGAAAUGCGUAGAUAUGCGGAGGAACACCGAUGGCGAAGGCAAUCCCCUGGGCCUGUACUGACGCUCAUGCACGAAAGCGUGGGGAGCAAACAGGAUUAGAUACCCCUGUAGUCCCUGUCUCUUAUAC
RNAcentral lists this ribosomal RNA (301 nucleotides) under uncultured bacterium. Its description in RNAcentral is "partial 16S ribosomal RNA". It matches the Rfam family "Bacterial small subunit ribosomal RNA", at positions 509 to 807 of the family's 1533-position model. The record is from RNAcentral.